CGUAGGUAACCUGCCCGGAGCGGGGGAUAACAUUUGGAAACAGAUGCUAAUACCGCAUAACAAUAAAAGCCGCAUGGCUUUUAUUUGAAAGAUGGCUUUGGCUAUCACUAUGGGAUGGACCUGCGGUGCAUUAGCUAGUUGGUAAGGUAACGGCUUACCAAGGCGAUGAUGCAUAGCCGAGUUGAGAGACUGAUCGGCCACAAUGGAACUGAGACACGGUCCAUACUCCUACGGGAGGCAGCAG
This 244-nucleotide ribosomal RNA is filed under the name uncultured bacterium. RNAcentral's name for it is "partial 16S ribosomal RNA". It matches the Rfam family "Bacterial small subunit ribosomal RNA", at positions 116 to 354 of the family's 1533-position model. The record is from RNAcentral.